CUACGGGGGGCACCAGUGAGGAAUAUUGCACAAUGGGGGAAACCCUGAUGCAGCAACGCCGCGUGGAGGAUGACGCAUUUCGGUGUGUAAACUCCUUUUAUCAGAGAAGAAAAUGACGGUAUCUGAUGAAUAAGCUCCGGCUAACUCCGUGCCAGCAGCCGCGGUAAUACGGAGGGAGCAAGCGUUAUUCGGAAUCACUGGGCGUAAAGGACGCGUAGGCGGGUUUUUAAGUCAGGUGUGAAAUCCUAUGGCUCAACCAUAGAACUGCACUUGAAACUGGGGACCUAGAGUAUGGAAGGGGCAGGUGGAAUUAGUGGUGUAGGGGUAAAAUCCGUAGAUAUCACUAGGAAUACCGAAAGCGAAGGCGACCUGCUGGGACAUUACUGACGCUGAGGCGUGAAAGCGUGGGGAGCAAACAGGAUUAGAUACCCGGGUAGUC
RNAcentral lists this ribosomal RNA (439 nucleotides) under uncultured bacterium. RNAcentral's name for it is "partial 16S ribosomal RNA". It matches the Rfam family "Bacterial small subunit ribosomal RNA", at positions 339 to 795 of the family's 1533-position model. The record is from RNAcentral.